RNAcentral lists this ribosomal RNA (273 nucleotides) under uncultured bacterium. RNAcentral describes it as "partial 16S ribosomal RNA". It matches the Rfam family "Bacterial small subunit ribosomal RNA", at positions 524 to 796 of the family's 1533-position model. The record is from RNAcentral.
UACAGAGGGUGCAAGCGUUAAUCGGAAUUACUGGGCGUAAAGCGCGCGUAGGUGGUUCGUUAAGUUGGAUGUGAAAUCCCCGGGCUCAACCUGGGAACUGCAUUCAAAACUGACGAGCUAGAGUAUGGUAGAGGGUGGUGGAAUUUCCUGUGUAGCGGUGAAAUGCGUAGAUAUAGGAAGGAACACCAGUGGCGAAGGCGACCACCUGGACUGAUACUGACACUGAGGUGCGAAAGCGUGGGGAGCAAACAGGAUUAGAUACCCGGGUAGUCC